RNAcentral lists this ribosomal RNA (255 nucleotides) under uncultured bacterium. RNAcentral describes it as "partial 16S ribosomal RNA". It matches the Rfam family "Bacterial small subunit ribosomal RNA", at positions 79 to 334 of the family's 1533-position model. The record is from RNAcentral.
CUAAGGCCGAUGGCGACCGGCGCACGGGUGAGUAACGCGUAUCCAACCUUCCCGUUGCUAGGGGAUAACCUUGCGAAAGUAAGACUAAUACCCUAUGAGGUUCUUCGCAGGCAUCUAAAGAGAACGAAAGAUUUAUCGGCAACGGAUGGGGAUGCGUCUGAUUAGGUUGUUGGCGGGGUAACGGCCCACCAAGCCUACGAUCAGUAGGGGUUCUGAGAGGAAGGUCCCCCACAUUGGAACUGAGACACGGUCCAA